RNAcentral lists this ribosomal RNA (473 nucleotides) under uncultured bacterium. RNAcentral describes it as "bacterial SSU rRNA". It matches the Rfam family "Bacterial small subunit ribosomal RNA", at positions 31 to 507 of the family's 1533-position model. The record is from RNAcentral.
GAACGCUAGCGGCAGGCUUAACACAUGCAAGUCAGGGGGUAUAGUAGCAAUACUAGAGACCGGCGCACGGGUGCGUAACGCGUAUGCAAUCUACCUUUUGCAGGGGAAUAGCCCAGAGAAAUUUGGAUUAAUGCCCCAUAGUAUAAUGACUCGGCAUCGAGAUAUUAUUAAAGUCACAACGGCAAAAGAUGAGCAUGCGUCCCAUUAGCUAGUUGGUAAGGUAACGGCUUACCAAGACUACGAUGGGCAGGGGUCCUGAGAGGGAGAUCCCCCACACUGGUACUGAGACACGGACCAGACUCCUACGGGAGGCAGCAGUGAGGAAUAUUGGACAAUGGGCGCAAGCCUGAUCCAGCCAUGCCGCGUGCAGGAUGACGGUCCUAUGGAUUGUAAACUGCUUUUGUACAGGAAGAAACACCUCUACGUGUAGAGACUUGACGGUACUGUAAGAAUAAGGAUCGGCUAACUCCGUG